AGAAACCCGAAAAUCAAUAAACGACGUGUAAUAAGCCAAUUUAGCCUGGCCCGAGACAAAGCAAAGUAAACAGAAUAGCAAAACAAAAAAGGAACCAAAAUAAAUCAAAACAAUGCAGUUUACAGGCCCAAUUUCAACUGAAAAACAAUAUUAACCCUAGCCCAAUACGAUGGCCCAAAACUAAAACAUUUGCAGCCAGAAACCUAGGGUUUCCCUCGCGCCGCGGCUGGCCUCCCCACGUACGGCCUUCAUUGUGCCUCCGUACGCCAGUGCACAGCCUCCGUACAUGCGCCACGCACACCACGUACCUGCAAAGAGGGACAAACACAACAGCAAAACAAAGAAAAAAAAGGGACAAAAGAUUGUAUUUUUUUUGUUUUCAUCAUUCGGCUAUAAAGCCCUUUUUUAUUUUUUGAUUGUAAGUUUUUUUUUACAGAGAUGCAUACUAAAAUACAAAAAAGCAACCAAAAAAUUGAAAGGUGAUUUCGAGUGCUUUUACAUUCUUGCUUUUCAAUCUAUUUUUCUUGGUUUUUCUUGAUCUUGCAUGUGAUUUUAACAUAGGAAAAUAAAAAGAAAAUGAGGGUUUACCUUUGCGAAGAGGCCAUCAAAAUCCUUAUCCACUUUGUCGAAAUCGAAGUUUGAGAUAGGAUUUCUGGGGCUGAAAUCGGCAAUCUUUGAGCCAGGGUUCUAGGCGAGGGGCGGGCGUCGUUCUCCACCGAUCGCAGUGGUGGUGGUUGGACUACGCAAAUUCUUGGGUCAGCUGAAUAAUGAUGAUAGGCUCUAGGUUUAUUUUUGUUUGUUCACUUUGUUUUUUGUUUUUUUUUUUGGAAAAGAAGGAAAUGGG
Molecule: long non-coding RNA, 844 nt
Filed under: Gossypium barbadense (sea-island cotton)
Lineage: Eukaryota; Viridiplantae; Streptophyta; Magnoliopsida; Malvales; Malvaceae
Description: long non-coding RNA (GBAR_LNC000409)
Source: RNAcentral